Molecule: long non-coding RNA, 1195 nt
Filed under: Homo sapiens (human)
Lineage: Eukaryota; Metazoa; Chordata; Mammalia; Primates; Hominidae
Description: novel transcript
Source: RNAcentral
GCUUCUCGCUGGAGUGCGCACCGAGCGGCAGUGACUUCGCCGCUGCUGUAGUUCCCCGGCUGGAUGCGGUGACUGGUGCCAGUGCUCAGGCGCCCGCUGCCCUUGACCUCCCGCCCCGCGAGCCCUAACUCAGCGCAGGAGGACCGGCUGCCGCCGCCGCCGCCGCCAGGAGGUAGAUUGGGAAGUGGAGCUGGCCGUGGUCAUUGGAAAGAAAGGCAAGCACAUCAAGGUGAAGUGGAAAAGAUCCACACAACUUAAAGAUCUGCUGUCGAGUGAAUGGGGAAGUGGUCCAGAGCAGCAACACCAACCAGAUGGUAUUCAAGACAGAGGACCUGAUAGCCUGGGUGUCCCAGUGAGUGACAGGGGCUAUCCUGCCAGCCCCGCUCCACCUGCCACACAUGUGGAGGCUGACCUGAGCCCUCCACCUUUGGCUGUGGCCACCUCAGCCAGCCCCUGGUCUCACCGGGUCCUUUUGCUUUGCUCCAGGUCUCUGAAGGUCCAGACAGCACUGAUGGCGAGCUUUGGGUCCGCACACUCUGGAAAGAAGAGAGAAGUGAAGGCUCUAGGUAGGGAGAACAGAGAGCCACUGGGCACAGGCUUCUCUCCUCUUGUUUAAAGAAGCCCAGGGAGGGAUAGAGCUCUGACUGGACAGAAGACUGUACUCUGCAGCCUGCCUUCCUAGAGUUGGGUUGUCACUGUCCUGCAGGGGGCAGCAGCCACCAGCAAACACCACUGCCUGCAGGAGCCUGGGCUGACUGGUUGGGACUCACCGAAGAUCCCUUCUUCCUGGGCGGUGGCCUGCAGGAACUGGAACAGCUGCUCUGUGUAGCCCAACUCUGCAGAAGAGAGAAGACCUAGACCUGGCACCCAGCACAGACACAGCCUGCCUCGAGGACUGCAAGGGAACAAGGGCCUCACCAGUAUCGGGCAGCUGGCCCUGGCGGAGGAAGGCGGCAGCCUGUGCAAAGGCCUUGAGCAGCGGGCUGAGCAGGCGGCAGAGGAAAAGAAAGAAAUCUGGGCAGUGUGACUGCUGGCUGAGCUGGAGGGGACAGGCCGGGGUGAGUGCAGCUCCCCACCGCCUCCCUACCACCUCCCUCCAGGGGCAGCUUUUUGAAACACACCCUGAAGUACCGGCCGUCAGCCUCUCCGAAGUCAUCACUGUCACUAUCAGUAAAGUCCCCACUCGGUUUCCACA